AGAACGAACGCUGGCGGCAUGCCUAACACAUGCAAGUCGAACGCUUCCGGGGCUUCGGUCGCGGAGGAGUGGCGCACGGGUGAGUAGCGCGUGGGAACCUGCCCUGUUGUGGGGGAUAACCGAGGGAAACUUCGGCUAAUACCGCAUACGCCCCGGGACUUGGUCUUCGGAUUAGGUCUGGGGGGAAAGAUUGAUCGCAGCAGGAGGGGCCCGCGUCGGAUUAGCUGGUUGGUGGGGUAACGGCUCACCAAGGCGAUGAUCCGUAGCUGGUCUGAGAGGAUGAUCAGCCACACUGGGACUGAGACACGGCCCAGACUCCUACGGGAGGCAGCAGUGGGGAAUAUUGGACAAUGGGGGCAACCCUGAUCCAGCAAUGCCGCGUGAGUGAUGAAGGCCUUAGGGUUGUAAAGCUCUUUCGCCCGCGACGAUGAUGACGAUAGCGGGAGAAGAAGCCCGGCUAACUUCGCGCCAGCAGCCGCGGU
Molecule: ribosomal RNA, 482 nt
Filed under: uncultured bacterium
Lineage: Bacteria
Description: SSU rRNA
Rfam family: Bacterial small subunit ribosomal RNA
Source: RNAcentral